GUUUAGGAUGAUAAGCCAGCCUCAGAGUGGAUCAGAUCAUGCGCUCUUCAGUUAACCUGUGGGACAAGACAUCCGUAUCAUUGAUCCACAUAUUAUGAAUAGUGGACAAAAGCCUGUAUUAUCUGCACAGGAAGAACUCCUAUUCCAGAGAAAGAAUCUCCUCUCAGAAGAAUCCCCGUUGAGAAAGGUGGCUUCUCUGUGUACACAUGUGAACAGACACGCAUACCCACGAGCAUGCAAACACACGUGAACAAGCAUAUACUCAUGGAUGUGGACGUGAAACUCUAACACAGGAUCACUUCUAUCAUCUCCUUGGCAUUUUUACUAAUCUAGUAUAUGUAAAUUUAAGAAAGACAGUCAUUGAUUUUU
Long non-coding RNA from Mastomys coucha (southern multimammate mouse), 369 nucleotides. RefSeq lists it as uncharacterized. The transcript is spliced from 2 exons. The record is from RefSeq and is a predicted model, not a curated record. NCBI's taxonomy places the organism in Eukaryota, Metazoa, Chordata, Mammalia, Rodentia, Muridae.